AACGAACGCUGGCGGCGCGCCUAAUACAUGCAAGUCGAGCGAGAAGACGUAGCAAUACGUUUGUAAAGCGGCGAACGGGUGAGGAAUACAUGGGUAACCUACCCUCGAGUGGGGAAGUAACUAGCCGAAGGUUAAGGUCUAAUAACCGCGUACGCUCCUUCGGUACGUUCGGUUUCGUAGGGAGGGAAAGGACGAUACCG
RNAcentral lists this ribosomal RNA (200 nucleotides) under uncultured bacterium. RNAcentral's name for it is "partial 16S ribosomal RNA". It matches the Rfam family "Bacterial small subunit ribosomal RNA", at positions 29 to 217 of the family's 1533-position model. The record is from RNAcentral.